AUUGAACGCUGGCGGAAUGCUUUACACAUGCAAGUCGAACGGCAGCACGGACUUCGGUCUGGUGGCGAGUGGCGCACGGGUGAGUAAUGUAUCGGAACGUGCCCAGUCGUGGGGGAUAACGUAGUGAAAAUUACGCUAAUACCGCAUACGAUCUAUGGAUGAAAGCGGGGGAUCGCAAGACCUCGCGCGAUUGGAGCGGCCGAUAUCAGAUUAGGUAGUUGGUGGGGUAAGGGCCCACCAAGCCAACGAUCUGUAGCUGGUCUGAGAGGACGACCAGCCACACUGGAACUGAGACACGGUCCAGACUCCUACGGGAGGCAGCAGUGGGGAAUUUUGGACAAUGGGCGAAAGCCUGAUCCAGCCAUUCCGCGUGCAGGAUGAAGGCCCUCGGGUUGUAAACUGCUUUUGUACAGAACGAAAAGGUUUCUACUAAUACUAGGAGCUCAUGACGGUACUGUAAGAAUAAGCACCGGCUAACUACGUGCCAGCCGCCGCUGUAA
RNAcentral lists this ribosomal RNA (500 nucleotides) under uncultured bacterium. RNAcentral describes it as "partial 16S ribosomal RNA". It matches the Rfam family "Bacterial small subunit ribosomal RNA", at positions 30 to 523 of the family's 1533-position model. The record is from RNAcentral.